AGAUAUUUGUUUAUGUUUUUUAUUUAAUUCGUAUUGUCUAUUUUAUCUAGAAUGUUGUCCACUAAGCUAAUGAUGGGGAUCGUAGCACUACCCUGUUCGUCCCAUCAGAGAAGUUUCUUGAGAAGCAACUACAAGAGACUUGUAUGAAUGGGCAGAUUUGAAGUGUUUUUAACUGACCACCCCAUCAUUGCCUGCUGUUGGAGACUGAACACUUGAUUGAAAAUUGAUGGGGUGUAGCAAUCAGUGGGUGUCCUCAUUUGCCCUGAGAAGAGUCAGAGAACACCCUGGGCCUCAUGAGAUGGUGACACCCUGCAGUAGGAGCAGUUCCUACCAGUAUCUCUUAAAAGCAAUCAGAGGUACUCAUAGCAUCUGAUCCAUUUCUGGAGAAAAACUUUUGUAUGGAGCUGGGUAGCAGUUACUUGAGAUGUCUGGCUGAUUGAUGAGGAUAAUUGUCCUGCGACUCUGACAUUCUGUAGGGCUUGGAUAUAGCUCUAUUGCUGUAGAAAAUGUCAGGACGGUGGAGAUUUAGAUAAGUGGUGUGAUGUUAUUGAUGGUAAACAGAAGACUGUGACCUUGAAUCUGAAGAUCUGUGAUGAAGACUAGACGUUUGGGGUCACUCUAUGUUACAGUACUACAAAUCUAACAGUGACCCACUCAGCCACAAAGAGGUUGUCUCUGAUGUCCACACAUAAACCCCAUGGAGACUCUAAAUCACAGUGAAUGUAACGGAGGAACUGUCCGUCCUGAUCUAGGAUGUGGAUACGGUGAUUGUUAAAGUCUGCUGUCAGGAUGUGACUCUGGCUGUCUGUAGUGAUGCCGAAUGGAGUAAAUGAUUGCUUGGUAUUAGAGGGAUGACCAGUGUAUCUA
Molecule: long non-coding RNA, 867 nt
Organism: Ostrea edulis (European flat oyster)
Lineage: Eukaryota; Metazoa; Mollusca; Bivalvia; Ostreida; Ostreidae
Exons: 6
Source: RefSeq, a predicted model, not a curated record